Molecule: small RNA, 143 nt
Filed under: Ureibacillus massiliensis
Lineage: Bacteria; Bacillati; Bacillota; Bacilli; Caryophanales; Caryophanaceae
Also listed under: 1 other name
Description: Lysinibacillus massiliensis c-di-AMP sequence
Rfam family: c-di-AMP riboswitch aptamer (ydaO/yuaA leader)
About the family: This family represents a conserved RNA structure found upstream of the ydaO and yuaA genes in Bacillus subtilis and related genes in other bacteria.
Source: RNAcentral
AUUUCAUAAUGGCCUAAUCUCAUUUAAAUGAGAACGGAGGAACCAAUCUUUUUGGGGUUAAUUCUGCAUUUGCAGAAGGGAUGAUUUAACUCUUUCGCCAUCCUACCCGUCAGCUAACUUCGUCGGCUAAUGCGAAGGAGGUC